RNAcentral lists this ribosomal RNA (242 nucleotides) under uncultured bacterium. RNAcentral describes it as "partial 16S ribosomal RNA". It matches the Rfam family "Bacterial small subunit ribosomal RNA", at positions 796 to 1041 of the family's 1533-position model. The record is from RNAcentral.
CACACAGUAAACGAUGAUAACUAGCCGUUGGCGAUAUACAGUCAGUGGCAGAGCGAAAGCAUUAAGUUAUCCACCUGGGGAGUACGCCGGCAACGGUGAAACUCAAAGGAAUUGACGGGGGCCCGCACAAGCGGAGGAACAUGUGGUUUAAUUCGAUGAUACGCGAGGAACCUUACCCGGGCUUGAAUUGCAGAGGAAUGUCGUGGAAACAUGGCAGCUAGUAAUAGUCUCUGUGAAGGUGC